Molecule: long non-coding RNA, 540 nt
Organism: Hibiscus syriacus
Lineage: Eukaryota; Viridiplantae; Streptophyta; Magnoliopsida; Malvales; Malvaceae
Exons: 2
Source: RefSeq, a predicted model, not a curated record
AGCUUUGGGGUUGAAGCAAGCAGCUGAUGCUGAGUUGUAGUGAACGCAAAGCCAUCUUCUUUAUUUUGCCUACUUGGCCUCAUUAUGUUUUGAGUGUACAUAUACAUUUAUGCAAUCAACCUCAUUUCUUCUUCCUCUUCCUUAAAAACGCUGUCUUUCUUCUUGUUCGCCCUUUUCUUUCUAAGUUAGGACAACGAAACCCCGUCCGAGGAAAGCAGAAGAAAAUAGCAAAACGCUUGUGGUGGUGAGGGGGCGGAAGCUCUCUUCAAGACCGGCGGAAUAUGGUGAAAAUUGAAGCAAGAUUGAGCUUUUCCGUGGAAAUUUAUGUGAAGCAAAUGGGUUCCGGAUGCUCAUAUGAAGAAGCAGGGGGAAACUAUAAAUGGGACAUCGUUUUCUUCAAACUCCCAUCUUUGCAGCGACUUCUGUUCUUCUUCUUCUUCUUCAGCCUCCGCUGAUGGGAGAUGGUGGGUGUGGCGGCGGAGGCGGUGAUAUUGGCGGGAUCGGCUCAAUCUCUUACAUUGUUCAUUUAUGAAUACACUA